Molecule: ribosomal RNA, 465 nt
Filed under: uncultured bacterium
Lineage: Bacteria
Description: partial 16S ribosomal RNA
Rfam family: Bacterial small subunit ribosomal RNA
Source: RNAcentral
GGGGGGGGGGGGGGGGGGGGGGGGGGGGGGGGGGGCGGGCGGGAGGGCGGGUGCGUGCAGGGGUACUCGGGGGGCGGGGGGGUGGGUAACCCGUGGGGGAUCUGCCCUGCACUUCGGGAUACGCCUGGGCAACUGGGUCUAAUACCGGGUAGGACCACAUAUUGGGUGGUGUGGGGGGACGGUUUUCGGUGUGGUAUGAGCUCGCGUACUAUCAGCGUGUUGGUGGGGUAAUGGCCUACCAAGGCGUCGACGGGUAGCCGGCCGGAGAGGGUGUACGGCCACAUUGGGACUGAGAUACGGCCCAGACUCCUACGGGAGGCAGCAGUGGGGAAUAUUGCACAAUGGGCGCAAGCCUGAUGCAGCGACGCCGCGUGGGGGAUGACGGCCUUCGGGUUGUAAACUCCUUUCGCUAGGGACGAAGCGCAAGUGACGGUACCUGGAGAAGAAGCACCGGCUAACUACGUG